AAUACAUGCAAGUCGAACGAAGGUUUUGUAGCAAUACGAAGCCUUAGUGGCGAAUGGGUGAGUAACGCGUUGGUGACCUGCCCCGAAGUGGGGAAUAACAGUCCGAAAGGACUGCUAAUACCUCAUGUGGUCACAAGGGUUGAAUACUUUGUGUCUAAAGGAGCAAUCCGCUUCGGGAGGGGCCUGCGUCCCAUCAGCUAGUUGGUAGGGUAAUGGCCUACCAAGGCUCCGACGGGUAGGGGGCCUGAGAGGGUGGCCCCCCACACUGGCACUGAAACACGGGCCAGACACCUACGGGUGGCAGCAGUAGGGAAUAUUGCACAAUGGGCGAAAGCCUGAUGCAGCAACGCCGCGUGUACGAUGAAGGCCUUCGGGUCGUAAAGUACUUUUUGAGGAGAUGAGGAAGGACAGUAUCCUCAGAAUAAGGAUCGGCCAACUACGUGCCAGCAGCCGCGGUAAAACGUAGGAUCCGAGCGUUAUCCGAAUUUACUGGGCGUAAAGCGCGUGCAGGCGGUUUGGUAAGUUGGAUGUGAAAGCUCCUGGCUCAACUGGGAGAGGCCGUUCAAAACUACCAGACUUGAGGGCGGUAGAGGGAGGUGGAAUUCCCGGUGUAGUGGUGAAAUGCGUAGAUAUCGGGAGGAACACCUGUGGCGAAAGCGGCCUCCUGGACCGUUCCUGACGCUCAGACGCGAAAGCUAGGGGAGCGAACGGGAUUAGAAACCCCGGUAGUCCUAGCCGUAAACGAUGCAGACUUGGCGUCGGUGGGGUAAAAGCCAUCGGUGCCGAAGCUAACGCGUUAAGUCUGCCGCCUGGGGACUACGGCCGCAAGGUUAAAACUCAAAGGAAUUGACGGGGGCCCGCACAAGCAGCGGAGCGUGUGGUUUAAUUCGUCUACGCGAAGAACCUUACCCGGGUUUGACAUACAGGUGGUAGGGAGCAGAGAUGUGACCGACCCUUCGGGGAGCCUGAACAGGUGCUGCAUGGCUGUCGUCAGCUCGUGUCGUGAGAUGUCCGGUUAAGUCCGGUAACGAGCGCAACCCUCGCUGUGUGUUAUAUGUGUCACACGUACUGCCGGUAUCAAGCCGGAGGAAGGUGGGGAUGACGUCAAGUCAGCAUGGCCUUUAUAUCCGGGGCUACACACACGCUACAAUGGCCAGUACAAUGGGUUGCAAAGCCGCGAGGUAGAGCCAAUCCCCAAAGCUGGUCUCAGUUCAGAUUGUAGGCUGCAACUCGCCUACAUGAAGCCGGAGUUGCUAGUAACCGCGCGUCAGCAUUAGUGCGGUGAAUACGUUCCCGGGCCUUGUACACACCGCCCGUCACGUCAUGGGAGCUGGUAACACCUGAAGCCGGUAUCCUAACCCGUAAGGGAGGGAGCUGUCGAAGGUGGGACUGGUGACUGGGACGAAGUCGUAACAAGGUA
RNAcentral lists this ribosomal RNA (1420 nucleotides) under metagenome. Its description in RNAcentral is "bacterial SSU rRNA". It matches the Rfam family "Bacterial small subunit ribosomal RNA". The record is from RNAcentral.